Long non-coding RNA from Homo sapiens (human), 297 nucleotides. Ensembl annotates it as TMEM184B antisense RNA 1. Its record names the gene TMEM184B-AS1. The record is from Ensembl. NCBI's taxonomy places the organism in Eukaryota, Metazoa, Chordata, Mammalia, Primates, Hominidae.
UAUAGAUGACCAAGGCUGCGAAGAGAGUGUCCAGGAGAAACCAGUCAAAUCAGCAGAAUGGGUCCGCAGAUGCUGGGAUUCUAAACAGCAAUGGAGGUCACAAUUUUAUAAGAUAACAACAAAACAGUCUCUGUGAAAAUCUUGGGAGAAAUUCCAAGCAGGAGUGAGAGGGAAGAACCUUCAUCCAGUCAACAACCUGUAGCGGUAUCCGGAAUACGCACAGCACUAUGAGCUACAACAAAGCACACGGCAGCACACAGAACACAGUAAAAACCUUGGGAAGCUUGGGCUGCUCAU